AAGGUGGUGGGCAGGGGGCAGUCAAGCUGGAGAGAAGCUGACAGAGGGCUGUACUGGAUUCUGAGAGAUAAUAAAGUCCAUGGAAAAAGUCUGGAUGGGUUGCCAUUUCCCUGCCUAGACUUCAGCAUCCAGGCCAGAGGAUGACAACUCAUCCCAUCCAGCAGCUCUUGGCACUUGAAACCAUGGAACAGGUUUCAUUGAUCAGCAAAGACAAUUAUUUUCUGUGGGCUGAAUCCCUCACACUGUUGCAAAUCAGGAGCAAGUCCACUGAAGCCAAAUGACUUCCAUGCAUGCUAAUUCAGUCAUGCCCAGAUGCUUAAGGGUAUUUUGGUGAGUGAGCUCCUCCAUUGCUGGGGAAAGUGUGCUUUUGCUCAUGGCUCCUCCUGAGCCAUGUGUACUUUGGGAAGGCUUAAUGAAAGUAGAAAGGAAAGCAGGUUGGAGGAAAGAGGAGGGAAAGAAAAAUUUUUACAUGUGCUAUUUGUUUUUAGAGUCACUAAAACUUCCUUCUUAGUAGAUGCCAUCUAAGAAAAGAGCAGCACAGGUUCUGGACUGUAAUGCUACUAGCCUGUGGAACUCCAGAAAAAAAUUGGCUUUGUCUUGUCAACAGUAGGUGACAACAGAACACCAUUUUUCUUUUCAACCACUUGUCAUGAGUAUGUGCUGAUGUUUCUGAAUAUAUGUUGAUCAAAGACAGUCAAAAAGGAUUUAACUUUUUUGGGGCUACUACUUAACUAAACACUUAUUUAAAAGCUUAUGUUUAAAAAAUAUAUAUAUUAAAAUAAGUCUGGUUAGCCUGUAGUCAUUAUUCAACCUGUAUUUUCUACUUUGAUAAAAAAACUUAGUAAUUGCAAGAUUUUUAUUGUUUGUAUCUAAGCAGGGUUCUUUUUAGAGCAUAUGACUAAUGAGAAUUAGUUGCUGCAU
This is a long non-coding RNA of Oxyura jamaicensis (ruddy duck), 921 nucleotides long. RefSeq lists it as uncharacterized. NCBI's taxonomy places the organism in Eukaryota, Metazoa, Chordata, Aves, Anseriformes, Anatidae. The record is from RefSeq and is a predicted model, not a curated record. The transcript is spliced from 3 exons.